RNAcentral lists this ribosomal RNA (235 nucleotides) under uncultured bacterium. Its description in RNAcentral is "partial 16S ribosomal RNA". It matches the Rfam family "Bacterial small subunit ribosomal RNA", at positions 100 to 334 of the family's 1533-position model. The record is from RNAcentral.
CGGCACGGGUGAGUAACACGUAUCCAACCUGCCGUCUACUCUUGGACAGCCUUCUGAAGGAAGAUUAAUACAAGAUGGCAUCAUGAGUUCACAUGUUCACAUGAUUAAAGGUAUUCCGGUAGACGAUGGGGAUGCGUUCCAUUAGAUAGUAGGCGGGGUAACGGCCCACCUAGUCUUCGAUGGAUAGGGGUUCUGAGAGGAAGGUCCCCCACAUUGGAACUGAGACACGGUCCAA